This 734-nucleotide ribosomal RNA is filed under the name uncultured marine bacterium. RNAcentral's name for it is "bacterial SSU rRNA". It matches the Rfam family "Bacterial small subunit ribosomal RNA", at positions 97 to 869 of the family's 1533-position model. The record is from RNAcentral.
GGCAGGCGGGUGCGUAACAUGUGGGAAUCUGCCUUUUGGUUCGGAACAACAUGGGGAAACCUGUGCUAAUACCGGAUAAGUCCUCACGGAGAAAGAUUUAUCGCCGAAAGAUGAGCCCGCACUAGAUUAGCUUGUUGGUAAGGUAAAAGCUUACCAAGGCAACGAUCUAUAGCUGAUUUGAGAGGAUGAUCAGCCACACUGGGACUGAGACACGGCCCAGACUCCUACGGGAGGCAGCAGUGGGGAAUCUUGCACAAUGGAGGAAACUCUGAUGCAGCGAUGCCGCGUGAGUGAAGAAGGCCUUUGGGUUGUAAAGCUCUUUUGUCGGGAAAGAUAAUGACUGUACCCGAAGAAUAAGGUCCGGCUAACUUCGUGCCAGCAGCCGCGGUAAUACGAAGGGACCUAGCGUAAUUCGGAAUUACUGGGCGUAAAGCGCGCGUAGGCGGUUAAGUAAGUUAAUUGUGAAAGCCCAAAGCUCAACUUUGGAAUUGCAAUUAAAACUACUUAGCUAGAGUUUAUCAGAGGAAAGCGGAAUACAUAGUGUAGAGGUGAAAUUCGUAGAUAUUAUGUAGAACACCAGUUGCGAAGGCGGCUUUCUGGGGUAAUACUGACGCUGAGGUGCGAAAGUAUGGGUAGCGAAGAGGAUUAGAUACCCUCGUAGUCCAUACUGUAAACGAUGAUUGUUAGAUGUUGGAAAUUUAUUUUCAGUAUCACAGCUAACGCGUUAAACAAUC